RNAcentral lists this transfer RNA (55 nucleotides) under Prevotella sp. CAG:1320. It matches the Rfam family "tRNA", at positions 18 to 71 of the family's 71-position model. From Rfam's summary of the family: Transfer RNA (tRNA) molecules are approximately 80 nucleotides in length. Lineage: Bacteria; Pseudomonadati; Bacteroidota; Bacteroidia; Bacteroidales; Prevotellaceae. The record is from Rfam by way of RNAcentral.
GUAGAGCACUUCCUUGGUAAGGAAGAGGUCCUGAGUUCAACUCUCAGUUACAGCU